UACUCCUACGGGAGGCAGCAGUAGGGAAUCUUCCACAAUGGACGCAAGUCUGAUGGAGCAACGCCGCGUGAGUGAAGAAGGCUUUCGGGUCGUAAAACUCUGUUGUUGGAGAAGAAUGGUCGGCAGAGUAACUGUUGUCGGCGUGACGGUAUCCAGCCAGAAAGCCACGGCUAACUACGUGCCAGCAGCCGCGGUAAUACGUAGGUGGCAAGCGUUAUCCGGAUUUAUUGGGCGUAAAGCGAGCGCAGGCGGUUUUUUAAGUCUGAUGUGAAAGCCCUCGGCUUAACCGAGGAAGUGCAUCGGAAACUGGGAAACUUGAGUGCAGAAGAGGACAGUGGAACUCCAUGUGUAGCGGUGAAAUGCGUAGAUAUAUGGAAGAACACCAGUGGCGAAGGCGGCUGUCUGGUCUGUAACUGACGCUGAGGCUCGAAAGCAUGGGUAGCGAACAGGAUUAGAUACCCUGGUAGUCCAUGCCGUAAACGAUGAAUGCUAGGUGUUGGAGGGUUUCCGCCCUUCAGUGCCGCAGCUAACGCAUCAAGCAUUCCGCCUGGGGAGUACGACCGCAAGGUUGAAACUCAAAGGAAUUGACGGA
RNAcentral lists this ribosomal RNA (592 nucleotides) under uncultured bacterium. RNAcentral describes it as "bacterial SSU rRNA". It matches the Rfam family "Bacterial small subunit ribosomal RNA", at positions 334 to 917 of the family's 1533-position model. The record is from RNAcentral.